UACGUAGGGUGCGAGCGUUAAUCGGAAUUACUGGGCGUAAAGCGUGCGCAGGCGGUUUUGUAAGCCAGAUGUGAAAUUCCCGGGCUUAACCUGGGAAUGGCAUUUGGGACUGCAAGGCUCGAGUGCGGCAGAGGAGACUGGAAUUCCUGGUGUAGCAGUGAAAUGCGUAGAUAUCAGGAGGAACACCGAUGGCGAAGGCAGGUCUCUGGGCUGACACUGACGCUGAGGAGCGAAAGCGUGGGGAGCGAACAGG
Molecule: ribosomal RNA, 253 nt
Filed under: uncultured bacterium
Lineage: Bacteria
Description: partial 16S ribosomal RNA
Rfam family: Bacterial small subunit ribosomal RNA
Source: RNAcentral